UCAAUGGUGGUUCAAAUAUUAUGGAGAAA
Molecule: small RNA, 29 nt
Filed under: Bombyx mori (domestic silkworm)
Lineage: Eukaryota; Metazoa; Arthropoda; Insecta; Lepidoptera; Bombycidae
Description: ovarian small RNA-24889
Source: RNAcentral